This 75-nucleotide transfer RNA is filed under the name Nephila pilipes (giant wood spider). It matches the Rfam family "tRNA". From Rfam's summary of the family: Transfer RNA (tRNA) molecules are approximately 80 nucleotides in length. Their secondary structure includes four short double-helical elements and three loops (D, anti-codon, and T loops). Further hydrogen bonds mediate the characteristic L-shaped molecular structure. tRNAs have two regions of fundamental functional importance: the anti-codon, which is responsible for specific mRNA codon recognition, and the 3' end, to which the tRNAs corresponding amino acid is attached (by aminoacyl-tRNA synthetases). tRNAs cope with the degeneracy of the genetic code in two manners: having more than one tRNA (with a specific anti-codon) for a particular amino acid; and 'wobble' base-pairing, i.e. permitting non-standard base-pairing at the 3rd anti-codon position. Lineage: Eukaryota; Metazoa; Arthropoda; Arachnida; Araneae; Nephilidae. The record is from Rfam by way of RNAcentral.
GUACGCGUGGCCCUAAUGGAUAAGGCGUUUGACUUCGAAUCAGAAGAUUGCAGGUUCGGAGUCCUGUCGCGGACG